GAGUGGGGGUCUUCCCCACCCCGGUGGUCUUUCAGUGUAUACACAAAUCCUGAGAAUGGAAAACAUCCCUCUGCCAGAUGUCAUUUCUUUUUGAACCCCUAGGGUUUCUACCAGCAGAGAAGGGAGUUUGUUUGGAGAACAUGUAGGACAUGUUUUCAUUAUUUCUUUGGCUUGUUGGCAAGGGAUGGAAAAUUUUUGCUUUAAACCUUUCCCAUUAACAUAAUGGUUUUCAUAAGAAUUUGAGAGUUCUAACACAUUUCCUAUUAGUAACUGGUCGAUUUUCUCAUUUCCUUGAGCUAAUGGACAAGGCAAACCUGUAUGAGACAGAAUAUGAGUAAUAUAUAAUAGAUAAUUUCUACGUCUGACAACCUGUUGCAAUUGUAUAAAUACCAAAGUUAACUGAGUCAUCAGGUACAAAUUCAGCAGUCUCUAUAUGCAAAAUAACUUUCUGCAUAUAAAGAAUCUGUAAUUACGUUAAGAGGUUCAGAAUACCUAAUACUACUAUACUGAUAGCAUACAAUUCUGAUUUUUGAAUCGAUGGAUAUGGACUUUUGACCACCGUGCUUAUUUUAUCUGACUUAUGACCUGCCAUUCCCAUCUUGUUUGCAUCAGUAUAAUAAGUUAUGCCUCUGGGAAUUGGGGUUCUCUUUAGAAUAAGUGGAAGAAUCCAGUUAGAUCUUUUUAUAAACUGUUUGUUUGUCUUUCAGUUAUUUAUUAUUAUUUUCACUCACAUAGUUGCUAUAAUCUCUUUGCCAAUCUUCAUUGAUCACCAAUAAUGACAUAAUCUCAGCAUCUAUAAGAGGUACUACAAUUUUGGCUGGAGGUGUUCCUGACAACUGACAUAAUCUUAUUCAACCUUUUAUAAUCAAUCCAGAAAUCUUUUCUGGAUAUGUCUUCAAUUUGUACUUUGUUUAUGAGCUAAGAAAAUACAUUCCAUAAUAUUUUCUUCCCUUUGCAUGAUGAGCCCAGUAGGUGAAUGACCAGAAUUCAAUAAAGUUUAGGAUCAAGUCGAUCUACAUAUGCCUCUUGCAAUCUUUGUUCUACAAGAGUUAAUUCUUUUUCUGCUUCAUCUGUUAGACAUCUUGGAGUGUUUAAAGUAGAAUCUCCUUGUAUUGUUUGAAACAAAUUACUUAACUCAUAUAUACUUAAUCCAAUUGUAGGCCUCAGCCUGUUAAUAUCUUCCAUUAAUUUUUGAAAAUCAUUGUGUUCGAAAUUGGUCUCUAUGGAUCUGUAUCUUUUGUUAUCAAAUUUUUGUUGACUGAUUUUAUUUAACCCAAGUAACUAAGUGAAUCUCCUCUUUGUAUUUUUCCAUUAUCAUCCUCAAUUUCUUGAUUUCUUUUUCUUUUUCUUUUUUUUUUUACAAUAAACGCAGAAAUUCCAGCUACUCUUGUAUCAGUUGUUGAAGGGCCUGCCAUUUUUCUUUUGUUAUGGACCCCUGCUCUUGCUAUUCAGGUCAGUUUGAUAACCAUUUUAAGGGCAAGGCUGUGGGUAUGUCAGCAGUCGCCCCUUUUAUAAAUGUGGAAAUUCAAUCCUUGUAUUAUCCUGGGUUUGGGUUACGAGAACAGCUUGUGGUUGUUCUUCAUCACCAGUAUCAAUAUCUUCCCCAGGAUCUACCAUAUUGCCCCUAAUUUCUUCACUUAAUAUCCCUGGAAUUGCAGGGAUAUUAACUUGAGUAUCCCAUUAUUGUAAAAGAUCUCUUCCCCAUAAGUUCAUGGGUAUUGCAGCCGCAUAAGAUCUCAACUUCCCUGUUUGCCCUUCUGGUCCCACACAGGUAUUCCAUUGGACACUUUGUCUUAUUCAUGAUAAUUUACCAAAUCCUCUAAAUGUGUUUAAACCUUCUGAAGUGGCCAAUCUGGAUUCCACGACUUUUGGGAAAGUGUACUAACAUCAGCUCCUGUAUCCACAAAUCCACGGAAGAAGUUCCUCUCAUGGUCAGGAUGCGUGUGACUGGUGGCAGAACACCUGGCGACACCCUCUGGGUGUCUGCGGGUGAGGCAGAGGUUCUUGCUUCUGUGUUCUGCUGCUAGGAACUUGCGAGACUCCUCCCCUCAACUCCGUAACCUGCAGUCUACCUCUCUUGACAAAGCGACACCGGAGUUUGCACAAAUCAUCUGCCUCGAAACUCCGUCAAUGAGAACCGACAAUGUAAAGCUGUGCGUUUUAGGCCCCAAACCUGAAGUUAAGACAACCGUGUGACCCAAGUGUGAUUUAUGCAGCGGCCUUGGUGACCUGAUCAAGUUCUCUAAUACCCGAAGUCUCCAGCAAAGCACUUGUAAAUGUACAUUUAAAAAAAAUGAAAAAAAGCUUUCGGAAUGGAAAACAACUACCAUAAAGCCGUAGGGAUCAAUACUGUGUGGUUUCUACUCAGGAAAAUCCACAGCUUGCCAAGAGGUGGAACCUUCCAAGGACAUCUCCGUACCCUAAGAAGUCGUGCACAGAUCGUACUUAAUGAAAGUACACUCCCACAAUUGUCCCUUCAAUUGGGGACUAGACAAAGAUUCCGGAACCCUCAAAGACCACCACGCAGUCUCAGACAUUGAGAUGAAGCCGUCUAUGUCCUGCUGGGUCCGCAGAGCAGUGGAGGAAGACCGGAGGCGGUGGAGACUAGGGACGCAGGUCCUGAGUUCAACUCCCAGCAACCACAUGGUGGC
Molecule: small RNA, 2651 nt
Filed under: Rattus norvegicus (Norway rat)
Lineage: Eukaryota; Metazoa; Chordata; Mammalia; Rodentia; Muridae
Description: uncharacterized LOC102555506
Source: RNAcentral